Long non-coding RNA from Mirounga angustirostris (Northern elephant seal), 1190 nucleotides. RefSeq lists it as uncharacterized. NCBI's taxonomy places the organism in Eukaryota, Metazoa, Chordata, Mammalia, Carnivora, Phocidae. The record is from RefSeq and is a predicted model, not a curated record. The transcript is spliced from 3 exons.
GGCAGUGGUGACAGGUCUCAAAGGUGCUGCUGCCUCUUCCAAACUAGCCUGCCUGUCUUGGGUGGUCCUGGUCCGAGGGAUGCCCCUUAGGGUUAUUGAGAAGGAUAUCAGAGGUCAUUUAUCUCAGUCUCCCACCCAGAGUGUGGAGUCCUGAACAGGUGCUUACAUACCGCUGUGGUGUUGAAACAACCAUCCUCCCCACAAGACAGCCUGGCCCAGCCCCAACCAGCUCCAUGAGAAGGCUCAUCGUGAUAUGCAGGGCAACUCUGGGCCUCUGUAAUCUUCACAGCCUCUCUGAAUUUCCAUUCUUGGACCAACACCAGCUGCUGAGUCAGAGCAUCAAAAUAGUCACUCAACUGAAGCUUCGGUUUUAUAGGACAACUUACAGUUUUGCUCCCUGAUGUGUUGGUUGAACUCACCCUUUUGGGGAAGCAGACAAGGCAUGACAUACACCGUGCGGAUGAAGAAAGCCCAGCUGAGUGCGGGUUAGUGGCUCAUCCAGCUUGAGAGCAGGUGGCUCCGUGGCGCAAUGGAUAGUGCAUUGGACUUCCACAAAUAUUUAUGAAGUGCCUACUAGAUAUCAGGCCUGGUCUUGGAGUCAGUGGUAAAGCAACGAAUAAGAAAGAUGAGAUGGCUGCCCUCUUGGAGCUUACAUUCCACUGAUAAGUGGGAGAUUUGACCCAGGAGAGGAAAAUCUUGUGAGCCAUACUGAAGAGUUUGGAUUUGAUCCGGUUGUUGAAUGAAAACCAAAUAUUGCCUUUAGGCCAGAGAAUGGUCUGAGCAGAUUUGUGUUUCAGAGAAACCACACUGGAAAACAAUACAGAGGAUGAGUGGACCUCUCAAGGAUGAGACUGGUGGCAGGAAGUUCCGACCGGAGGCUCCGGGGAUAUGCUGGAGAUGGGGGUGAUGGAGCUCCAGACCAAGCAGGGCUGAUGAGAAGAGAAGGAAAGACAGCCCCAUAGCUCACCCAGGACCGGGAUAGCCAGUGACACUGGCACCCUGGGCCGUAUGACAAAGCCGCACCUCUUCCAACCGAUAUUUUAAAAAUGGACACCUCCCAGCAUAAUACCCUCCAGUUCCAUCCACAUCGUUAUGCUGAGCAAAAGAAGUCAAACAGAGAAACACAUGUAUCAUAUGACCUCACUGAUAUGAGGAAAUCUUCAUCUCAGGAAACAAACUGAGGGUUGCUG